AUGGGAUCACGGAGCCAGAAAUGCCUGUAGAGCAAUCUAGAUUUGAGGGGGAUGACAUUUGAACUGCGAUCUGAAGGGACAAGAGGAAGGUUUAGGCCAGCAUGUCUGGAGUAUGGUGCAAGAGAGAGAAAGAAGUGAAGAUGAGAUUGGAGAAGGAUCAAAAAGCCAGGUCAUGUAGGACAGUAUAGCUCAAGGCCAAAUAAUACCCACCUGUGAGUUCAGUGUGACUGAUGAGCCAACGGUCUGCAACCUCAAAACAGAAAGAAGGAGGAGGGUCCAGGAUCUUGCCAACACUAAGAUGUCAGAGGAGUAGGAUCCAGCCAUCAAAGAAUGUUCAGAACCCACUGAACAGACAGAGGGAAAACCAAGAGUGUGAUAUUCCUCAAGACAAAAGAAGAAAGCGGCAGGAAGAAGCUGAAUGGUCAGCUUUGUAGGCUGCUGACAAGAGUUUGGGUAAGGUGAGGACCCACAAAUGUCCAUUUGAUGUGCCAUCAUGAGUAUUGGUUGGUAACCUCAACUAGAGAAGUUUCUGUAGAUCUCUGGUAUGGAAUCCUGUUUGAAGAAGAUUGAAGAAUUAAUGUGAGAUAUGAAAGUAAAAAGAGC
This 603-nucleotide long non-coding RNA is filed under the name Pan troglodytes (chimpanzee). Its description in RNAcentral is "long non-coding RNA NONPTRT000990". Lineage: Eukaryota; Metazoa; Chordata; Mammalia; Primates; Hominidae. The record is from RNAcentral.